CGGGUGAGUAACGCGUGAGGAACCUGCCUCAAAGAAGGGGGACAACAGUUGGAAACGACUGCUAAUACCGCAUAAGCCCACGGCUCGGCAUCGAGCAGAGGGAAAAGGAGCAAUCCGCUUUGAGAUGGCCUCGCGUCCAAUUAGCUAGUUGGUGAGGUAAUGGCCCACCAAGGCGACGAUCGGUAGCCGGACUGAGAGGUUGAACGGCCACAUUGGGACUGAGACACGGCCCAG
Molecule: ribosomal RNA, 234 nt
Filed under: uncultured bacterium
Lineage: Bacteria
Description: partial 16S ribosomal RNA
Rfam family: Bacterial small subunit ribosomal RNA
Source: RNAcentral